AUCUUGCGCAAUGGACGAAAGUCUGACGCAGCCACGCCGCGUGAGUGAAGAAGGCCUUCGGGUUGUAAAGCUCUGUCACCUGGGACGAAAACACUUACGGUUAAUAGCCGUAGGAAUUGACGGUACCAGGGGAGGAAGCACCGGCUAACUUCGUGCCAGCAGCCGCGGUAAUACGAAGGGUGCAAGCGUUGCUCGGAAUUAUUGGGCGUAAAGGGUAGGUAGGUUGUCUUGUUUGUCUAAGGUGAAAUCCCAGGGCUUAACCCUGGAAGUGCCUCAGAAACGGCAAGACUAGAGUCCUAGAGGGGUUUGUGGAAUUCCCGGUGUAGCGGUGAAAUGCGUAGAGAUCGGGAGGAACACCAGCGGCGAAGGCGGCAAACUGGAUAGGAACUGACACUCAACUACGAAAGCGUGGGGAUCAAACAGG
This 424-nucleotide ribosomal RNA is filed under the name uncultured bacterium. Its description in RNAcentral is "bacterial SSU rRNA". It matches the Rfam family "Bacterial small subunit ribosomal RNA", at positions 361 to 776 of the family's 1533-position model. The record is from RNAcentral.